GAUGAACGCUAGCUACAGGCUUAACACAUGCAAGUCGAGGGACCGGCGCCCGGGUGAGUAACACGUAUCCAACCUUCCCUUUCCUCGGGGCUAGCCUUUCGAAAGAAAGAUUAAUACCCGAUAUCACGGAUGGGGAUGCGUUCCAUUAGGUUGUUGGUGAGGUAACGGCCCACCAAGCCUUCGAUGGAUAGGGGUUCUGAGAGGAAGGUCCCCGACAUUGGAACUGAGACACGGGCCAAACUCCUACGGGAGGAAGCAGUGAGGAAUAUUGGUCAAUGGGCGUUAGCCUGAACCAGCCAAGUAGCGUGAAGGAUGAAGGCUUAUGGGUCGUAAACUUCUUUUAUAGAAGAAUAUGUAUUAUAUGAAUAAGGAUCGGCUAACUCCGUGCCAGCAGCCGCGGUAAUUC
This 406-nucleotide ribosomal RNA is filed under the name uncultured bacterium. Its description in RNAcentral is "partial 16S ribosomal RNA". It matches the Rfam family "Bacterial small subunit ribosomal RNA", at positions 28 to 526 of the family's 1533-position model. The record is from RNAcentral.